Etheostoma spectabile (orangethroat darter) is the source of this 382-nucleotide long non-coding RNA. RefSeq lists it as uncharacterized. The record is from RefSeq and is a predicted model, not a curated record. Lineage: Eukaryota; Metazoa; Chordata; Actinopteri; Perciformes; Percidae. The transcript has 2 exons.
CUGCUGCAUGAUUUUUACUUUUACAUUUUAAGUGUAUUUGUAUUCUCGUACAUACUGCAUAUUGUACUUUUAACAACUAACUUAAUGGGGGAGAUGUAGGAAAUAUACCUCUGGUAGAAUUGAAUUCAAGAUCAGUGGGAAUUCGUGAGCAAACUUAUGCUCUGCAUGACUAUCAUUUCUCCAAAACCAAUCACGUCAGCAAUCCAUAUAAUUUAAAUUGCCUUUCACACUGAAUGGUUUGUGAGUAAGAUGUGCAAAAGGGAUUUGACUCUUUCAGCUGUUUCAUUUCUGUCAUGAUAAGAAAUGUCCAUUUGUAUCAUUUUAAAAUGAAUUAAUACAGUAGAUGUGCAAUGCAUGCUUCGAAUGUUUCUCACCCACUCCC